This 1095-nucleotide long non-coding RNA is filed under the name Homo sapiens (human). Its description in RNAcentral is "novel transcript". The record is from RNAcentral. Lineage: Eukaryota; Metazoa; Chordata; Mammalia; Primates; Hominidae.
UACAAUGGGAAGAUGGGGGAGGCAGCACACUGGGGUCAGGAGUGGAGAUACUUAGGCUCCCCAGAGAAAUUAGUCACAAGUCUUAUCCCUUCAUCUCCAUUUACAGCCAUUUAUUUGGGAGCAACAUACUUUAAAUGAGUGAUAAACAAAAUGUCUCCCCACAGCCCCCACCCCAGCAUGUGUUCUGAAGUUCACAGGAAGGCUUCUCCUCAUUUGCUUUGGGGCCCGCAGGCUGCCUGCUAACAGCUGGGUCUUCCCAUGAACAAAUUAGACAGUUAAUGUUCCAGGAUGAAGAGGGCUUCGGGGAACAGAAUCUGCCGUUUAUUUGACUUGCUUCAUUAGACACAGUGCCAUCAUACCAAAAUUAGAAAAAAGAAGGAACUCAGCGGAAAUCAGCUACACAAGAAGAACCUCUCAGUUCUGAGAAUUCACAUUAACCAGUGAUUAAGAAAUAUUAAAAAGGUAUAGUUCUUGGCUGUGCUGAGGAUCUGUAAGGCACCAGAUGUGAAAGUAAGGAAGAAAGAUGGAUGUGGAAGAAAGUCACUGCCCAGAGAAUAAGGAGACCUGGAUUCUAAUCUCAGCUCUGCCAUUAACUAGCUAUGAAACUAUGGCUCAAAAGGGAAUAAGAGAUCAAGGCAAGCAUGGACAUCUUGUACGUGGAAGUGCAGACCAGAACUUGUAUCACAGCCAGUCAUAUCUGGUGCUUUCCAUGCUACUUUUACAUACAUGUUGCCAGUAAUGAUGUUUCUGGUGAUCUGGCUCAGAAGGCUGAGCUGAUGAGUGAUCACUCAGAAAUACUGAAUCAGGCAAUGGAAAUUCUGAAUCGGUGGGCUCUGGAGAAGGAACUGAGGGCGAGGUGACUCGGGGCCGGAGGGCUAUUAUGGACUAUGGACAAGCUGAAGGCAUGGGAAGCCUGACCAGUAGAUAGAGGAAUAUGAACUUGGUGGACAGGGAAAAGCAGGGACGUCAUGAACGAAAGACCACAGACCCUCUGUUCUAGUCCAUGGGGCCAGGCUGUGCUCCACUGCCUACUCUUGGAUUCCCCAAAGAAUGCUUUAUGUCCUUAUAAUAAAUCCACCUUUCCAUGGACAAAAA